Molecule: long non-coding RNA, 604 nt
Organism: Zonotrichia leucophrys gambelii
Lineage: Eukaryota; Metazoa; Chordata; Aves; Passeriformes; Passerellidae
Exons: 2
Source: RefSeq, a predicted model, not a curated record
AAAGUAACUGGGAUUUAUUUCUGGGCUCUUGGGAAUGUUCACCACAUGUGGAUUGGUAAAAUAGCUGGGAUUUAUUUCUGGGAUCUUGGGAAUGUGUGUUCACCACAUGUGGAUUGGCAGUGUUGAGAAUCAGAGGAGUGAUGAUUUUCCUUUUUGAAUUUUCUCCAUUUUCUCUCACCUCAACAAUUCUUUUCAUUGAAUUCUUUUCAUUGCUCAUUGUAAUGCUCAGAAUCCUCUGAAAAUUCCACUGAAAUUCCCAACAAAUCUGCCAUUCCUGAAAUUAAGAACUGGCAAAAAAAAAAUGUAAUGAGUCAUAAAAUUGUUCUCCCAGAAUGCAGAACUUAAUAAAAUCUGGGCUAAUCACUCAUGGAAAAUGAGAAUGAGGUCAACUUCCAGUGGUCUCCAACUCAUCCAGAGACUCCAUAAAAAGUCCUUAAUUACCCUGGAAUUACUCAUCUCUUAUUGUUUUUUGUCUUCAUGGUGCUUGGGAUUUAUUUUCUCAGUAUUAGCUAAAUAGAUUUAAUUAGUUUAUCUACCUAAAUGUAAUUUAAAGUUGCUUUUGUAACUUUCUUAGGUCAUUAAAUACCAAAAAAGAGAGAGAUAA